RNAcentral lists this ribosomal RNA (1536 nucleotides) under metagenome. RNAcentral's name for it is "bacterial LSU rRNA". It matches the Rfam family "Bacterial large subunit ribosomal RNA", at positions 1321 to 2925 of the family's 2925-position model. The record is from RNAcentral.
GUAAGAAUCCUUGUCGCCGUAAACCCAAGGUUUCCUGGGCCAGGUUCGUCCUCCCAGGGUUAGCCGGGAGCUAACAUGAGGCCGUAAGGCGUAAUGGAUGCACAGCAGGUUAAUAUUACUGCGCUAGCAUGGGUUAAGGCUGUGAGUGACGCAGAGAGAAAAGUGACUAGACAAUCGAAUGUCGAGCUUAGGUUUCGGCCGAAGCGCAUCACCAGACAAUCUGUCGAGAAAAGCUUGCAGCUGUUCCCCAUGGUACCCGUACCGUAAACCGACACAGGUGGGUGAGUGUAAGUGCACUAAGGCGCGCGAGAGAAACCUCUCUAAGGAACUCUGCAAAUUAGCCCCGUAACUUCGGGAGAAGGGGUGCCCAUUUCGAUGGGUCUCAGUAAAUUGCGUUUAGCGACUGUUUAACAAAAACACAGCACUCUGCCAAGUUGUGAAGACGACGUAUAGGGUGUGACAAGUGACCAAUGCGGAAAGAUCAAGGUGCUUUGUUAGCCGCAAGGCGAAGCUCGGUGCCUAAGUCCCCGUGAAUGUCGGCCGUAACUAUAACGGUCCUAAGGUAGCGAAAUUCCUUGUCGGGUAAGUUCCGACCUGCACGAAUCUUGUAACGACUGAACGACUGUCUCGGAGAGGAUCUCGGCGAAACUGUAACGGCGGUGAAGAUGCCGCCUGCCCGCAGUAGGACGGAAAGACCCUAUGCACCUUUACUGUAAGCUCGUAUUGUGUUCUGAUUAAUGAUGCGUAGCGUAGGUGGGAGACUUUGAAAUGAGGGCUUCGGUUCUCAUGGAGUCGCAAUGUGAAACACCACUCUUCGUUAAUUAGAAUUCUAACCUCAACCCUGUGAAGCCAGGUGGGGGACAGUGCGUGCGGGUCAGUUUGACUGGGGCGGUUUCCUCCCAAACGGUAACGGAGGAGCGCGAAGCUUGGCUCAGCAUGGUUUGCAACCAUGCGUCGAGCGUAUGGGUAUAAGCCAGGUUAACUGUAAGACCAACAAGUCGAGCAGAUGCGAAAGCAGGCCCAAAUGAUCCGACGGUAGAAUGUGGAAUUGCCGUCGCUCAACGGACAAAAGGUACGCUAGGGAUAACAGGCUGAUCGGAUCCAAGAGUUCACAUCGACGAUCCGGUUUGGCACCUCGAUGUCGGCUCAUCGCAUCCUGGGGCUGGAGAAGGUCCCAAGGGUCCGGCUGUUCGCCGGUUAAAGCGGUACGCGAGCUGGGUUCAGAACGUCGUGAGACAGUUCGGUCCUUAUCCACUGUGGGCGCAGGAAAUUUGAGGGGUUCUAAUCCUAGUACGAGAGGACCGGAUUAGACGCACUUCUGGUGUGGCAAUUGUUCCGUCAGGGGCAUCGUUGCGUAGCCAUGUGCGGAAGAGAUAAGCGCUGAAAGCAUCUAAGUGCCAAGCUCCUCCCAAGAUAUGAUUUCCCGGACGCAAGUCCCUAAAGACCCCCGGAAGACUACCGGGUUGAUAGGUUAGGCGUGUAAGCAGAGUAAUCUGUUCAGCGGACUAAUACUAAUCGGUCGUGCGGCUUGAUCGC